AUUGAACUCUGGCGGCAGGCCUAACACAUGCAAGUCGAACGGUAACAGGAAACAGCUUGCUGUUUCGCUGACGAGUGGCGGACGGGUGAGUAAUGUCUGGGAAACUGCCUGAUGGAGGGGGAUAACUACUGGAAACGGUAGCUAAUACCGCAUAACGUCGCAAGACCAAAGAGGGGGACCUUCGGGCCUCUUGCCAUCGGAUGUGCCCAGAUGGGAUUAGCUAGUAGGUGGGGUAACGGCUCACCUAGGCGACGAUCCCUAGCUGGUCUGAGAGGAUGACCAGCCACACUGGAACUGAGACACGGUCCAGACUCCUACGGGAGGCAGCAGUGGGGAAUAUUGCACAAUGGGCGCAAGCCUGAUGCAGCCAUGCCGCGUGUAUGAAGAAGGCCUUCGGGUUGUAAAGUACUUUCAGCGGGGAGGAAGGGAGUAAAGUUAAUACCUUUACUCAUUGACGUUACCCGCAGAAGAAGCACCGGCUAACUCCGUG
This 490-nucleotide ribosomal RNA is filed under the name uncultured bacterium. RNAcentral describes it as "partial 16S ribosomal RNA". It matches the Rfam family "Bacterial small subunit ribosomal RNA", at positions 30 to 507 of the family's 1533-position model. The record is from RNAcentral.